This is a non-coding RNA of Notechis scutatus (mainland tiger snake), 810 nucleotides long. The record is from RefSeq and is a predicted model, not a curated record. NCBI's taxonomy places the organism in Eukaryota, Metazoa, Chordata, Lepidosauria, Squamata, Elapidae.
AGAUUGUGUUUUUCCUCCUUGCAUUCAGAAAGACAGAUGCUUCCAAAGUGGGAUUUUCUGCCACAAGGGUUAUACUCUGUCAAACAUAAUUUUCUGUCUUCCCCUUCCUCUUCUCUCCCAACCAGAUACCUUCCAGGUGGCCACAUACCAUGGUUGUAAAUGUCCAACAUCUUUUGUUUGAUUGAUCCAUUCCAAAUACCUGAGAGACCCAGGGUGGUUUCAGAGGGAGCUUGGAGUUUUCCCCAAAACUCUUGUUACAUGGUCCGGCUGAGGUUCUUGAUACAACUUAGAAUGAGCAGGUGGCGGGGGCCAUGGACCAAACUGCAUCUGCGAGAACUUCUCUCUGUGUGGAUCUCAUAGAGCCCCAUGGUUUACUGAAUGAUUCAGAGAGAUGAAGCAAUGUAAGAGAUGCCCACAGUGCUACUGGAGGAAGACAAGGAAUGAGGCUGAUCAAGAAGAGGGAAAGUUGAAGAGAAAGUGGUUGACACACCGCUACAGCCCUGAAUUAAGUGGACUAUCUGGACCCUCUUCAAUCUGGGUUCACGCCUGGGCACAACACUGAAACGGCAUUGGUUGCAUUUGUCGAUGACCUUUGGAGAGCUUGAUAUGGAGAUUCAUCUGAAAGAAUGACAAUGAUAUUGGAGGCCUCAUACAAAAUUUGGUGCCACAUUAUAGAAAACCCUAUUCUGGCUGUGUGCUGAAUGAACUUCAGUAGAUUUAAGAUACAGAGCUUUACCUCACAAAGACCUGAGGAGGUGAACACAGUCACAUGUUGCUUGAUCUUCUCAAAACAUCAGUCUCCGAAUCUAA